AAUACCGAAUACACCCUGCUGGCUGCAUGGUCUGGUGGGGGAAAGCUUUUGCGGUGUGGGAUGGGCCCGCGGCCUAUCAGCUUGUUGGUGAGGUUACGGCUCACCAAGGCGACGACGGGUAGCCGGCCUGAGAGGGUGACCGGCCACACUGGGACUGAGAUACGGCCCAGACUCCUACGGGAGGCAGCAGUGGGGAAUAUUGCACAAUGGGCGCAAGCCUGAUGCAGCGACGCCGCGUGAGGGAUGACGGCCUUCGGGUUGUAAACCUCUUUCACCAGGGACGAAGCGCAAGUGACGGUACCUACAGAAGAAGGACCGGCCAACUACGUGCCAGCAGCCGCGGUAAU
This 347-nucleotide ribosomal RNA is filed under the name Mycobacterium sp. CT-33. Its description in RNAcentral is "bacterial SSU rRNA". It matches the Rfam family "Bacterial small subunit ribosomal RNA", at positions 165 to 524 of the family's 1533-position model. Lineage: Bacteria; Bacillati; Actinomycetota; Actinomycetes; Mycobacteriales; Mycobacteriaceae. The record is from RNAcentral.